GAUGAACGCUGGCGGCGUGCCUAAUACAUGCAAGUAGAACGCUGAAGGGGGAGCUUGCUCUUCUGGAUGAGUUGCGAACGGGUGAGUAACGCGUAGGUAACCUGCCUGGUAGCGGGGGAUAACUAUUGGAAACGAUAGCUAAUACCGCAUGACAACAGUUAUUGCAUGAUAACUGUUUAAAAGGGGCAACUGCUCCACUACCAGAUGGACCUGCGUUGUAUUAGCUAGUUGGUGAGGUAACGGCUCACCAAGGCGACGAUACAUAGCCGACCUGAGAGGGUGAUCGGCCACACUGGGACUGAGACACGGCCCAGACUCCUACGGGAGGCAGCAGUAGGGAAUCUUCGGCAAUGGACGGAGGUCUGACCGAGCAACGCCGCGUGAGUGAAGAAGGUUUUCGGAUCGUAAAGCUCUGUUGUAAGAGAAGAACGAGUGUGAGAGUGGAAAGUUCACACUGUGACGGUAUCUUACCAGAAAGGGACGGCUAACUACGUG
Molecule: ribosomal RNA, 495 nt
Filed under: uncultured bacterium
Lineage: Bacteria
Description: partial 16S ribosomal RNA
Rfam family: Bacterial small subunit ribosomal RNA
Source: RNAcentral